CUUAUUUCGGUUUGAUUUUUUCUUUCCGGAUGAUUACUUUGAGAAAAUUAGAGUGCUCAAAGCAGGCUUUUGCCUUGAAUAGUUUAGCAUGGAAUAAUAAAGUAGGACUUUGGUUCUAUUUUGUUGGUUUUAGGUACCAAAGUAAUGGUUAAUAGGAACAGUUGGGGGCAUUCGUAUUUAACUGUCAGAGGUGAAAUUCUUAGAUUUGUUAAAGACGAACUACUGC
Molecule: ribosomal RNA, 226 nt
Filed under: Theileria buffeli
Lineage: Eukaryota; Apicomplexa; Aconoidasida; Piroplasmida; Theileriidae
Description: partial 18S ribosomal RNA
Rfam family: Eukaryotic small subunit ribosomal RNA (bases 26-226)
Source: RNAcentral